This 497-nucleotide ribosomal RNA is filed under the name uncultured bacterium. Its description in RNAcentral is "partial 16S ribosomal RNA". It matches the Rfam family "Bacterial small subunit ribosomal RNA", at positions 28 to 507 of the family's 1533-position model. The record is from RNAcentral.
GAUGAACGCUGGCGGCGUGCCUAAUACAUGCAAGUCGAGCGAACGGACGAGAAGCUUGCUUCUCUGAUGUUAGCGGCGGACGGGUGAGUAACACGUGGAUAACCUACCUAUAAGACUGGGAUAACUUCGGGAAACCGGAGCUAAUACCGGAUGAUAUUUUGAACCGCAUGGUUCAAAAGUGAAAGACGGUCUUGCUGUCACUUAUAGAUGGAUCCGCGCUGCAUUAGCUAGUUGGUAAGGUAACGGCUUACCAAGGCAACGAUGCAUAGCCGACCUGAGAGGGUGGUCGGCCACACUGGAACUGAGCCACGGUCCAGACUCCUACGGGAGGCAGCAGUAGGGAAUCUUCCGGAAUGGGCGAAAGCCUGACGGAGCAACGCCGCGUGAGUGAUGAAGGUCUUCGGAUCGUAAAACUCUGUUAUUAGGGAAGAACAUAUGUGUAAGUAACUGUGCACAUCUUGACGGUACCUAAUCAGAAAGCAACGGCUAACUACGUG